AUUGAACGCUGGCGGAAUGCUUUACACAUGCAAGUCGAACGGCAGCACGGGGCAACCUGGUGGCGAGUGGCGAACGGGUGAGUAAUACAUCGGAACGUGCCCAAUCGUGGGGGAUAACGUAGCGAAAGUUACGCUAAUACCGCAUACGAUCUACGGAUGAAAGCGGGGGAUCGCAAGACCUCGCGCGAGUGGAGCGGCCGAUGUCAGAUUAGGUAGUUGGUGGGAUAAAAGCUUACCAAGCCGACGAUCUGUAGCUGGUCUGAGAGGACGACCAGCCACACUGGGACUGAGACACGGCCCAGACUCCUACGGGAGGCAGCAGUGGGGAAUUUUGGACAAUGGGCGCAAGCCUGAUCCAGCCAUGCCGCGUGCAGGAUGAAGGCCUUCGGGUUGUAAACUGCUUUUGUACGGAACGAAAAGACUCUUUCUAAUAAAGAGGGUCCAUGACGGUACCGUAAGAAUAAGCACCGGCUAACUACGUG
This 482-nucleotide ribosomal RNA is filed under the name uncultured bacterium. Its description in RNAcentral is "bacterial SSU rRNA". It matches the Rfam family "Bacterial small subunit ribosomal RNA", at positions 30 to 507 of the family's 1533-position model. The record is from RNAcentral.